GUGGCGGGCUUGCCUCGCCAAAGUAUUAGUGGCGGGCACUUGAAUGGGGUUCAAGAGGUCCGCGGUUCAAGUCCGCGCGCCCCG
RNAcentral lists this transfer RNA (84 nucleotides) under Candidatus Omnitrophota bacterium. RNAcentral's name for it is "tRNA-Pro". Lineage: Bacteria; Pseudomonadati; Candidatus Omnitrophota. The record is from RNAcentral.